UUAUUAUCACCAUCAUCAAAUUGUCUUGAGGCAACGUUUGUGAAGAUGCGUGGAGACUAUAAAAGCAACUCAGAAGAACUGUUUGCACCAAUACGAAGCAGUGUGUGUGUGGCAACGCUCGACAAUGUAUCCAAACCCUCUCGAACGAAGGCACUCAACAGUACGUCAAGUGAUUGACAAAUUUUUGUUCCCGGAUGCAAACCGCAAGAACAACAACAACAACACCACCACCACCAAGUACAGAAAUUCAUCGUCGUCUUGGAAUAAGAAAGACGAUCACAGAAAAACGACGUCAGAAUAUCGGAAAUAGAAACUGUUUAUUUGUAAAUCUUGAUAUAUAUUUGUUCAUGUAUAAUUUAUUAAUUAGAGAAGACGUAUGCUGCUUCAUAAAUCUCCUUUGGACUAGAAGAUACGACAAUGGAAUCUGUGAAUAAUCUGCUAAUGGGUAGGAACGCGACUUAUCCACGGUGCAACCACUUACUCGACGAGACAGGCGUUCGGUCUCCCGAGAAUCUGACAUCACGAUACCAGUUCUUCCAUCUACGAAUUACAGUUGAAUGUGACGAGGCUUUUUCGGCAGACAUCCUUCGAGGUACUGGGACCGAAUUGACACUGUGCUCGCUUCUGAGUAGUAUUUAGUAUAUGUUUUGUAGUUUUGUAGACAUUUGUUGCUAUUUCCAAAGAUCCGUGUGAAGAAAGCGCCUGGUAGUGCAAUGUUGAGCGAGCAGUGAUCAGAUAUUAAGUUGAAGUGUUAUGUUUAUGAACCACUGGGUCUGUGACAGUAUUAAUGUAUAUCAGCCAAAGAAUGGACUGUGUUUCUCAAAUGUAUGCACAGUUCACUUUUAUUACUCACAUAAACUUCCCCUAAGUAUUUUUGAGGACUGGGUAAUUAUGCUUUAAGCAUCGAGUUUAGACAUUAGAAAAUGAAUCCUAAUGUUCAAUAGUCAGAAAAUUAAAAAUUUGUUCUAGACCGGUAUGACAAAAUAAGAAUUAUCUUCAUGCAGUGACAAACUCACAAAAAUUUAAAACUGGCGAGAAUAUUUGGCUGCGGAAUGCAACGUUGCCGGGUGAGACAGUACAUGUGCUCCGUCCAAUACAAAAAAUGUUAACAGAUCUCAGUAAUGUCUUAUUUUAAGAAUCAGGGAAACUGAAGGGAAGUAUGUGAGUAAAUAUAAUUGUGCGUACUCAGCCGUCCAACGGAGCUACGGGGGCUGCAACCUGGUUCUUCGUUUUCUUGAUCUAAAUGUAUGCGCCUUUAGGGAUCGUACGCAACAGUUGUGUAGCACGAGGGGAUUCACAUCCUUCUCUGUUGCCUAUAUAUAUUAAAAAAAAAAAAUCGUUUUUCACUGAAUAGAUUGUGACAAAACUUGCUACAGACUAUAUACAACCCUAUUAUCAUAUGAGUUUUCCAGCACUUCAGCAUUCCUUUCUUAAACUCAUAAAAAGUUUAUUCCGACGAAAUUCUGCAAAAAAGUAAUGCAAAUUAAAUUUAGAGCCAUACGCAAGAAUCAGUAUUCUCAGCACACAGAAGGGGAAAAAGAGAAAAAGAAACAUUACUUCGCUACUCGACCAAUGCGUUUAUAAUAAAGGUAAUAGUGUAAUGGAUUGUAAUCAGCGAGUUGCUCACUGGUAAAAUGAAAAGUUUCUAUUUGAAACGAUCCUUAUUGUGUUGUGACUUAUGUUGGUCGUUUUAAACGAAAUCCAGAACUGUGGAGACCCGCCCGGCUGGCUGGAUUUGAGAAACGCCGUCUAAUCCAAUGCAUUAGCUAGUCCGAUGUAGCUCCAUGCUAUUCAUAAAUGCAUUUAUUUUCCUUAGUUUGUGUAUAUUGACAAUAUUAGGGUGUUGUUGAUUUGUAAAUAAAAUAUUUGAUGUAUAUUUCUGUAACUUAAUACUCAAGAAUAAUUUAAUACAUUUUGUACAAGAAUAA
Zootermopsis nevadensis is the source of this 1928-nucleotide long non-coding RNA. RefSeq lists it as uncharacterized. NCBI's taxonomy places the organism in Eukaryota, Metazoa, Arthropoda, Insecta, Blattodea, Termopsidae. The record is from RefSeq and is a predicted model, not a curated record.